CCUGGGGAAGAACGAUUGACCGCCAUCAAAACUUUAUACUAUUGGUCCUGGUGGCCUUCCUAUGUUCAUUUUUUUAUUUAUACUUUUCUGGUAUUUUUUUAGUUGGGGAAUACAUCUACUUUUAUUUACCUGGACACUUCUGAAAUGACAACUCAAACAAAACUAGUUAAACACUUAUCGCAAUUUUACCCAUCUUAGCGUUUCUGUAUUUUGGAGAGGGCAUUUUGACAAAGGAAUUAACAACUUAAUUUAAAUAUACGUUUAAAUUUGUAUUGUGUAUAAAUGUACCGUUAUGUAAAAUCUUUUGUUCGAAUAAAUUUGAUUGCAAAAUUAAACCAAAGUUCCAUGUCUCAAAUCAUUGAAACUAUAGUGUGAUGAAUUUGACUAGAAGGUAAGCAAUAUAAAUUUCACGAUCUACAAAUUGGUAAAUAAGACAUUAUUAUAUGGUUGACCUGUAGGCUAUUGCUUAACUGAGGUCAAAUCUUGGUGUCGCAAACCGAUUAUUUUAAGCCUAGGGGUAGUUUUAAAGAAUUAGUUACGCUUGCAAUCUAGUUGAGGUGUAUGGUAUUUCCGUUUCGAGUGUUACACCAAGCGACAAAUAAAACCUUUCUUCAGCUGCGUUCUUUCUAUGUUGUUUUCUUACACUUAUUCUGUUAUAUAAUUUCCGUCUCAUUAUGGUAUUGUUAUAAUUGGUUUUGUCCGAAAUUAAAAAGAAACGAAUAAUGCACGAAAAAAGUGAAAUUGUGUGGUCUACAGAUAGUUCAUAGCCUAUUUCUGUCACUAUUUAGUUUUUUUUGUAAUUUGUAAUGAAGGAUCUGUUUAGUUAUUUUUUUUUUGUAAACUAAGGGUCUUUAUAGGCCUAAUAUUUUGUAAAUUGAGGGUCUUUUGAGGUCUAUUACUUUGUAAAUUGAGUGUCUUUUUAGGUGGAACAUUUUGUAAAUUGAGGGUCUUUUUAGUUACUGAUUGUUACAGAUGAAUUUCUUUCCAGAAGCACAAAGACACCUUUAAAAGAAUAAAUAGUCAGAAAAGUACAUUAUAAGUAUUUUUAUGGAGAGUCUUUUUGACAAGUACAAUAUGACUCUUUAAUUAUUGGCACCAUUUGAUUCACUUCCCUACUUUACUAUCAAAGUUUAAGUUAGCUCAAG
RNAcentral lists this long non-coding RNA (1145 nucleotides) under Mytilus galloprovincialis (Mediterranean mussel). Lineage: Eukaryota; Metazoa; Mollusca; Bivalvia; Mytilida; Mytilidae. The record is from RNAcentral.